CCCCGGUUCACCCCAUUGAUGUCCCCUGCAGCCCCAGUCCUUGGCGCAGUUCGGGCGCCCCAAAAUCGAUGGGGAACUGAAGGUGUGCAGCAGCGAGCGGCGCUCCAAGGCGGACAGGUACGGAUUCCUCCUGGACAAGGCCCUGAUCAUCUGCAAGCGCCGUGGGGACGCUUACGAGGCCAAGGACGUCGUGGACCUACAAAGCCACCAGCUGAGGGACAGCAGCCUUGGGCCCAGGGACGGCAAGAAGUGGUCCCACACCUUCCUGCUCAUCAACACGGCCGGGCUGCAGGGCUACGAGCUCUUCUUCAAGACGCGUGAGCUGAAGAAGAAGUGGCUGGAGCAGUUCGAGAUGGCCCUCUCCAACAUCUUCCCGGAGCACGCCCUGGCGGAUGGACACGACUUCCAGAUGUUCUCCUUCGAGGACACCACAUCCUGUAGGGCCUGCCAGAUGCUGCU
Molecule: long non-coding RNA, 459 nt
Filed under: Numida meleagris (helmeted guineafowl)
Lineage: Eukaryota; Metazoa; Chordata; Aves; Galliformes; Numididae
Description: lncRNA (ENSNMEG00000014260.1)
Source: RNAcentral